UUAUUAGCGGCGAAGGGACUUGAACCCCUGACACUGCGGAUAUGAGCCGCAUGCUCUAACCACCUGAGCCACGCCGCCA
RNAcentral lists this transfer RNA (79 nucleotides) under Brachyspira hyodysenteriae WA1. RNAcentral describes it as "tRNA-Met". The record is from RNAcentral. Lineage: Bacteria; Pseudomonadati; Spirochaetota; Spirochaetia; Brachyspirales; Brachyspiraceae.